This 788-nucleotide ribosomal RNA is filed under the name uncultured Actinomyces sp. RNAcentral describes it as "bacterial SSU rRNA". It matches the Rfam family "Bacterial small subunit ribosomal RNA", at positions 65 to 845 of the family's 1533-position model. Lineage: Bacteria; Bacillati; Actinomycetota; Actinomycetes; Actinomycetales; Actinomycetaceae. The record is from RNAcentral.
AACGCUGAAGACCUGGCUUUUGUUGGGUUGGAUGAGUGGCGAACGGGUGAGUAACACGUGAGUAACCUGCCCCCUUCUUUGGGAUAACGCCCGGAAACGGGUGCUAAUACUGGAUAUUCACUGGCCUUCGCAUGGGGGUUGGUGGAAAGGUUUGUUCUGGUGGGGGAUGGGCUCGCGGCCUAUCAGCUUGUUGGUGGGGUGAUGGCCUACCAAGGCUUUGACGGGUAGCCGGCCUGAGAGGGUGACCGGUCACAUUGGGACUGAGAUACGGCCCAGACUCCUACGGGAGGCAGCAGUNGGGAAUAUUGCACAAUGGGCGAAAGCCUGAUGCAGCGACGCCGCGUGAGGGAUGGAGGCCUUCGGGUUGUAAACCUCUUUCGCUCAUGGUCAAGCCGCAACUGUGGGUUGUGGUGAGGGUAGUGGGUAAAGAAGCGCCGGCUAACUACGUGCCAGCAGCCGCGGUAAUACGUAGGGCGCGAGCGUUGUCCGGAAUUAUUGGGCGUAAAGGGCUUGUAGGCGGUUGGUCGCGUCUGCCGUGAAAUCCUCUGGCUUAACUGGGGGCGUGCGGUGGGUACGGGCUGACUUGAGUGCGGUAGGGGAGACUGGAACUCCUGGUGUAGCGGUGGAAUGCGCAGAUAUCAGGAAGAACACCGGUGGCGAAGGCGGGUCUCUGGGCCGUUACUGACGCUGAGGAGCGAAAGCGUGGGGAGCGAACAGGAUUAGAUACCCUGGUAGUCCACGCUGUAAACGUUGGGCACUAGGUGUGGGGGCCACCCGUGGUUUCUGCG